UAAUACGUAGGUGGCAAGCGUUGUCCGGAUUUAUUGGGUUUAAAGGGUGCGUAGGCGGCUUUGUAAGUCAGUGGUGAAAUAUGGCAGCUCAACUGUCAGGGUGCCAUUGAUACUGCGGAGCUUGAGUACAGAUGAGGUAGGCGGAAUUGACGGUGUAGCGGUGAAAUGCUUAGAUAUCGUCAAGAACACCGAUAGCGAAGGCAGCUUACUAGGCUGUAACUGACGCUGAGGCACGAAAGUGUGGGGAUCAAACAGGAUUAGAUACCCUGGUAGUCCACACUGUAAACGUUGAUGACUCGCUGUUGGCGAUACACGGCCAGCGGCAGAGAGAAAUCGUUAAGUCAUCCACCUGGGGAGUACGCCGGCAACGGUG
Molecule: ribosomal RNA, 373 nt
Filed under: uncultured bacterium
Lineage: Bacteria
Description: bacterial SSU rRNA
Rfam family: Bacterial small subunit ribosomal RNA
Source: RNAcentral